GACCUAUCCGAUGGCCUCGUGGUUAGAGCGUCCGCCAUAGAUGCGGGAGUUCACGGGUUAGAUCCCCGGCGGAGUCA
Molecule: non-coding RNA, 77 nt
Organism: Potamilus streckersoni
Lineage: Eukaryota; Metazoa; Mollusca; Bivalvia; Unionida; Unionidae
Source: the annotation of a GenBank genome assembly